CCUACGGGGGGCUGCAGUGGGGAAUAUUGGACAAUGGGGGGAACCCUGAUCCAGCCAUGCCGCGUGUGUGAAGAAGGCCCUCGGGUUGUAAAGCACUUUCAGUGAGGAAGAACGCCUGGUGGUUAAUACCCAUCAGGAAAGACAUCACUCACAGAAGAAGCACCGGCUAACUCCGUGCCAGCAGCCGCGGUAAUACGGAGGGUGCGAGCGUUAAUCGGAAUUACUGGGCGUAAAGCGCGCGUAGGUGGCUUGAUAAGCCGGUUGUGAAAGCCCCGGGCUCAACCUGGGAACGGCAUCCGGAACUGUCAAGCUAGAGUGCAGGAGAGGAAGGUAGAAUUCCCGGUGUAGCGGUGAAAUGCGUAGAGAUCAGGAGGAAUACCAGUGGCGAAGGCGGCCUUCUGGACUGACACUGACACUGAGGUGCGAAAGCGUGGGUAGCAAACAGGAUUAGAUACCCGAGUAGUC
RNAcentral lists this ribosomal RNA (465 nucleotides) under Vreelandella stevensii. Its description in RNAcentral is "partial 16S ribosomal RNA". It matches the Rfam family "Bacterial small subunit ribosomal RNA", at positions 338 to 795 of the family's 1533-position model. Lineage: Bacteria; Pseudomonadati; Pseudomonadota; Gammaproteobacteria; Oceanospirillales; Halomonadaceae. The record is from RNAcentral.